GGACCCAUGGUCUAGUGGUAUGUUGGAGCUUGCUCUUACACACUAAAUGACGUUCGCUUGACUUGCGAGAGAUCGUCGGUUCGAUGUAAUCCCUUUCUUUGUAAAGAAAGGUUUUACAAUCCCAAAGAAACUGAUUGUAAAAAUGAUUACGAAAUCCCGACUGGGUCCA
RNAcentral lists this transfer RNA (169 nucleotides) under Candidatus Woesearchaeota archaeon. RNAcentral's name for it is "tRNA-Val". Lineage: Archaea; Nanobdellati; Candidatus Woesearchaeota. The record is from RNAcentral.